AGAUCAAAGAGGCCCUUGAAGAGGAACUUCGGGAUGAGGUGAAGGAGGCCCUUGAAGAGGAGCUGCGACCAGAAAUCCGGCGUGCACUUCUCAAGAAAAAGGUGCAGAAA
This 110-nucleotide non-coding RNA is filed under the name Karenia brevis. The record is from RNAcentral. Lineage: Eukaryota; Dinophyceae; Gymnodiniales; Kareniaceae.